AGCGAGUCUGCCUUGAAGAUCGGAGUGCUUGCACUCUGUGAAACAAGAUACAGGCUAGCGGCGGACGGGUGAGUAACACGUGGGUAACCUGCCCAAGAGAUCGGGAUAACACCUGGAAACAGAUGCUAAUACCGGAUAACAACAGAUGAUGCCUAUCAACUGUUUAAAAGAUGGUUCUGCUAUCACUCUUGGAUGGACCUGCGGUGCAUUAGCUAGUUGGUAGGGUAACGGCCUACCAAGGCGAUGAUGCAUAGCCGAGUUGAGAGACUGAUCGGCCACAUUGGGACUGAGACACGGCCCAAACUCCUACGGGAGGCAGCAGUAGGGAAUCUUCCACAAUGGACGCAAGUCUGAUGGAGCAACGCCGCGUGAGUGAAGAAGGGUUUCGGCUCGUAAGGCUCUGUUGUUGGUGAAGAAGGACGGGGGUAGUAACUGACCUUUGUUUGACGGUAAUCAAUUAGAAAGUCACGGCUAACUACGUGCCAGCAGCCGCGGUAAUACGUAGGUGGCAAGCGUUGUCCGGAUUUAUUGGGCGUAAAGCGAGUGCAGGCGGUUCGAUAAGUCUGAUGUGAAAGCCUUCGGCUCAACCGGAGAAUUGCAUCAGAAACUGUCGAGCUUGAGUACAGAAGAGGAGAGUGGAACUCCAUGUGUAGCGGUGAAAUGCGUAGAUAUAUGGAAGAACACCGGUGGCGAAGGCGGCUCUCUGGUCUGUUACUGACGCUGAGGCUCGAAAGCAUGGGUAGCGAACAGGAUUAGAUACCCUGGUAGUCCAUGCCGUAAACGAUGAGUGC
RNAcentral lists this ribosomal RNA (791 nucleotides) under uncultured bacterium. RNAcentral describes it as "bacterial SSU rRNA". It matches the Rfam family "Bacterial small subunit ribosomal RNA", at positions 56 to 816 of the family's 1533-position model. The record is from RNAcentral.